CCCCGCCGCCGCCCCUUCUGGCCAGGUGCUCGACCCCCCGCCGCCGCGCGGCUGCCCCUUCUGGCCAAAGGCUCAACCCCCCGCCUCCGUGCCUGCUCGGCCCCGCCGCCGCGCCUGCUCGCCAGCCGCUCAGCCCCUUCACGCCCCCGACACCCUCCGCUUUCCUGGGGCUGACACGCCGCCGUGAGCAUAGGCUGCAGCACGCCCCCGACCGACGCCGGCGUCCGAGCGGCACCUCCGCCGCAGGGGGUCCGGGCCGUGGCAGCACGCCCCCGGGCGCCGACGAAGGUUGACACGGCGAUAGUUCGUCAGUUCCUCUCGCCAAAACAGGCACCCACGAGCUGGCCUUGUUGCAAGGAUGAAUCUGCUUAUCUCGUAAUCAAUGGAACAAAAUGUACUGAGUAUUUACUAUUACUACUGAAAUACUACUACUUUUUUGCAAAUUACAGAAAUACUACUAUAUAUGAUUUGGGAAAAAUAAUCGGGUCUCUCAUUCAGUUUAGUCCACCUAAUUUUUUUUCUUUGUAGCUCCGCCACCAAAAGAUAGGCCCCGUUUUAAAUUCUGGGCACAGGGCCUCUGAUAUUGUUGGCCCGGCCCUGUCCGUGAAUAAUUCCCUUGCCAAUUCAAUUAUUAUCUAUGUUGGUUAUAGAGCAUUAGAUCAAUUAAUUGGAAGGAUAUAGACACACUCUGUACGUACAAGCUAGCUAGCUAGCUACUACAAGCAGCUUGAUUGAUUGUUUUAUGAGAAGCUUCCUGCGUCUUCGUUCUAUUAAAACUUUGGACCAGUUUAUAAGAUACCAAAUGUUGGACAGUAUACAUCUAUUUCAUAUCAAUGUUUGCUACCGACAUACGUAGUUGUGAUAGUUAACAUUUCCUGCUCCAUAUUGUUUCUUCUGUUGACAAAUCCAGAGCAAUAUAUCAUAUCAUUCCCUAUUUAUGUUAAGAAUAUGGUCUUCAUGAAACAAGGAUUGUAAGGGUUUCUUACUAGCUGAUCCAGUGAAGUCUUGUUGGUGUGCUUUCUUUAAAUGAAUUUUAAACACUACAUACUGGUGCUAUUGCUCUUGUUAUAAAAUUGGUCUACAUUCUUUCUAGAAAACUUUAUUCUAUGGAUGCUGCCUGAUGUGAUUGUCUUUUUAGUACUGUCCGAAACCUUUCAUAUAAACAAAGUGGAGAUUACACAUCUGUUUUGGACCUAGAGCCAUAUUCAUUGCCAAUAAGAGCAGCUUCUGCAUGGUAUGUGAUACUCUUCCUCUCAGGCAUGUUUUCUUUUCAGCAUAAUCAUCUCCCAGUGAGUUGUAUUUUCUUUUCUCCAAUGAGGGUCUGCUGCAUGACCAAUUCAUUUCUCUGUUCUAUCUGAUUGGUGAUGACUUUCUGAUAAUUUGUAUGUCUUUUUGGACUGGUCAUUAGUUUUUGAAAUUAGAUACUUUUGUUAAUUGCAAGAGAGAUAAUUGUGAUCAUUUUCCUAUUGUGUGUACUCUAUUCUACGUAAUCAGAUUCUCAAAGGUGUGUUGCCAUCGAAGGUGAAGACUAGAUGUUCUACUCUUGUGCCUGAACAAUCUGUAGUUGGCAGCAAGUUUUUUCUUAACAGUGUUCAAUCAACUUGCCCAUGUUGUAUAUACAAUAUAUACAAUUCCAUAAAACUUGCUUAUAUGUUUUUUCUUUUUGUAAAAAUGCAUCGGCUCACGGUCACUGAAUAAUUAGGUUUCAGAUUAUGUAGUUUUCUGCAGGUUGUCAGAUAAACUCUUCCAGAGAUUGAGAUCUAAUCACAACAGCUUUGAGUCCUUUACCUUUUUAUUUUGCAAAAUGCGAUCAGAAGUAGUUUUCAUCUCUAAUGGUAAUGAAUAGAUUCUCAAAAAAGCAAAUUAAUUGGAAUGAUCUGCUUAGCAUGUCCCAUGACUUCAAAAGGAAUAAUUUGACUAAACUGAGAUGUUGAUCAGCAGUGAAAAGAUAGACGAAAUCAAAGACUGGGGACCUACGAUUGUCCUGUAACCCCCUUUGUCAGCACUUCGUGAGUUCAUGAUACACUCUUAGUUUAAUAAUUGAUUGAACAGUGACAGUUAGUGUUAUGCUUAUAAGUUGGUAUCCCCAAGUACUGUCUGUUGUAUAUGCUGUGUAUUAUUACCUCCUUCAAAUUGAAAUGUUGUUCUAAUAAAAAUACAACAUGACCAAGACUGUACUUGUUAUUGCAAAUUGUUGGUGAUGCUAAAUAACUAUGGGCUCAGGAUCAAGGCUGUACUUGUUAUUGCAAAUGAGUUAUUGCUUUGUAUUUUUACAUGCCGGCGGUUGGUAGGUGAUAAUAAUUUCUGCAUGUCUACACAUAGUUUAUUCAUCCCACUGGAAAAAGCACCAAGAAUGUUGUGUGCAGAGAUGUCUUGGAGGGACAACACAUGUUUGUUUUCCAUACAUGCCAAUCCACCUUAUUAUAUUAGGACAUAUUACUCAUCUCUAAUAUUGUUUUUUUUCUAAUUUAUGUACAUAUUAUGCAUACAAUGAUGAGCUGUUCUAUUAGGAUAAUUAAAUUAGGGAGUCUUACUAAAUAAUAGUAUAAAGAUGGUACUGAAGGAGGCUUUGCAACUAGCAAGGUAAUCUGUUUACAAUCCGACUGUGAUAUUUAUUAAAAGAUAUAUGGAUGUUGUGUUCUCUCAGACAAUAUAAAGCAUGCUUCUACAUUCUCUGCUAAAUUUGCAACUUUCAAUGUUUUGUGGGGCCUUUCCUCUCAACUGUAGGGAUUUUACCUCCCUGAUUUUUCUGUGUGUGACUCUAGCUAUUUUACUUCAUUUAUGUUGUUUGUUUUGUCAAUUUUGUUGAAGUUACUGCAGUUGACUGCUCUGAAUUGUUGAUCGUCCACCUUGAAGGUUAUAAUUGCUUAAGAAGCAGAAGGAGAUUUUGAAUAUUUGGUCCGACAACUUCCACCUGAUCAGUUUGAGAAUAAAAGCAGAAGAAUGCAUCCAGCGAGCAAUGAUUAAGCAUAUUGAUCAAAUAAAGCAUUAAAUAUACAAAGGUCUCCACAAGGUUUGCAUAAGAUGCUCUGAUCGCGUGCAAGAUUGGAGCGCCCUGUGCAAUUCCUCGACUAUUUGACACAGCGAGCGUCGAACGGGAGAGUUCUGAGAGGAGGCACGUCCACCAGGUGCAUCUCCUUCGUUUGGCCAAGGCCACCAGUGAAUAACAGUUGUGGAACCGCAUCAUUCACUUGCCUACCAUAGAUUGACGGGCGCUCCGCUCCACUACUCCAUCUCAUGUUGUAUAUUUCCUCUCUUUAUAUCAAAUAAAGUAUAGCAUGUAAAUAUGUUUAAAUUUAGAAAUAAUGUUUUCCCUUCUAUCUUCACUUAUACUGUUACAAAAAUGUAACUAAAUUAAGUGGAUGCUCUUAUUUGAAGCCAGAUUAUAGGAUUAUUCCUCUGGUGUUAUUGAUGGUUUGAUCUAGAAUUUGGUAUGAUGUAUAACCAUCAGUUCAGUAGAUGGUUCCUUUAUAUUAUUUCAAAGGCUUGG
Molecule: long non-coding RNA, 3490 nt
Organism: Triticum dicoccoides
Lineage: Eukaryota; Viridiplantae; Streptophyta; Magnoliopsida; Poales; Poaceae
Exons: 3
Source: RefSeq, a predicted model, not a curated record